CGGUGGCUGCUCCGGCUGGGACCUCCGGGCUCCUAACGGGUGGGGUGGGACCGGACCGGGACCGGACCUACCCGCGCCUUCCCUUCACAUCUUGCCCUCCCGGAGCCUGGCGGUGGUCCGAGGAGUCAACACAGGGGGAUAGAGCGUCUUUCCCUCACAGAAACCCAGCGCGGAGCCGCCCCCUCCGCCCUGCAUCCUGUCGUGAGGCACAAGCCGCUCCCCUCCCCUCCUUCCCCGGCCCCCCCUGGCCGCUCCCGCCUGACUUCUCUCUCCCUCCGCAGCGUGUGGCGUGGGCGGGCCGCCCGCAGCCCCAUGGCGGCCGCCCGGCGCGGGGGGCGGGAAGGCGGCGGAAGGCGUCCCGGGUACCGGCAAGGCCUGCACAGCCCCCCCGCCCGAAGGCUUGGGCCGCUGCCGGCGGCGGCAGGAGGCGAAGCGCGGCAGGCCCCGCCAGCGGGGAGCGCUGGGCCUCUGGAGCCGUGCCCUUGGAGGCCUGUAGGGGUCUCACUUAACAACUUCAUGUUUGAAAUAUUCUAGACAUGGAUGAUCACACCUAAAUUGGAAGCAAUGCUCAGGACUUUAGAACAAAUCAUACCUUCUGCUAGAAGGUUUCUCAAGUGUGCUGAUGCUUCAUGAACCUAUGUGAAAUAUCUUGAGUGAAGGGCUCCUUGUAAAUGGAUUGGCCUCCAGGGAGGAAACCAGCAUGUACAAGGGGUUGGAACUGUUAUAAACCAUCAGCUUAUGAUUUGAUGAGCAGCUGACUUCUGGAGUCAUCUCAUAUGAAUUCAUUUCUUGCCUGUGAUGGAUUGUCUUGAAAGUGAAACUGAGACAAGCAAUGGCUAAAACUACACAUCUUCAAUGAUCAUGUUUAAACAGGAACCUUGCCAUUUGUGGAAACUGGGGUUUCUUAAACUGUUAUUUCUAUGUCUGUGGAUUAUUUGAAAUAAAACAUGAGAAUUCUACCAGAA
Phalacrocorax carbo (great cormorant) is the source of this 965-nucleotide non-coding RNA. The record is from RefSeq and is a predicted model, not a curated record. NCBI's taxonomy places the organism in Eukaryota, Metazoa, Chordata, Aves, Suliformes, Phalacrocoracidae.